UUCAAGACGUCGCAGAAGGAGGGGGCCGCGGCCGAUCAGAUAGUUGGUGAGGUAACGGCUCACCAAGCCUUUAACCGGUACGGGCCGUGAGAGCGGAAGCCCGGAGAUGGGCACUGAGACAAGGGCCCAGGCCCUACGGGGCGCAGCAGUCGCGAAAACUCCGCAAUACACGAAAGUGUGACGGGGCCAUCCCGAGUGCCAUCCGCUGAGGAUGGCUUUUCCCUAGUAUAUAAAGCUGGGGGAAUAAGGAGAGGGCAAGCCUGGUGUCAGCCGCCGCGGUAA
RNAcentral lists this ribosomal RNA (282 nucleotides) under uncultured archaeon. Its description in RNAcentral is "partial 16S ribosomal RNA". It matches the Rfam family "Archaeal small subunit ribosomal RNA", at positions 187 to 473 of the family's 1478-position model. The record is from RNAcentral.